Molecule: long non-coding RNA, 297 nt
Filed under: Mytilus galloprovincialis (Mediterranean mussel)
Lineage: Eukaryota; Metazoa; Mollusca; Bivalvia; Mytilida; Mytilidae
Source: RNAcentral
GGACAAGUCUGCUUUUGACCAGUCCUGAGGACAGGUCUGCCCCAGACCAGACCUGUGGACAAGUCUGCUUUUGACCAGUCCUGAGGACAGGUCUGCCUCAGAGCAGACCUGUGGACAGGUCUGCUCCUGACCAGACCUGAGGACAGGUCUGCUUUUGACCAGACCUGUGGACAAGUCUGCUAUUGACCAGACCUGAGGAUAGGUCUGCUUAUGACAGAUUAUCGUUAUAAGAGUUUUCAUAUCAGACUUGAGCUUUCAUUAAAAUAUGUAAACAACAUUCGCAUUGUUUUUCCACAG